RNAcentral lists this ribosomal RNA (346 nucleotides) under uncultured eukaryote. Its description in RNAcentral is "SSU rRNA". It matches the Rfam family "Eukaryotic small subunit ribosomal RNA", at positions 594 to 945 of the family's 1831-position model. The record is from RNAcentral.
AUAGCGUAUAUUAAAGUUGUUGCAGUUAAAAAGCUCGUAGUUGAACCUUGGGCCUGGCUGGCCGGUCCGCCUCACCGCGUGCACUGGUCCGGCCGGGCCUUUCCUUCUGGGGAGCCGCAUGCCCUUCACUGGGUGUGUCGGGGAACCAGGACUUUUACUUUGAAAAAAUUAGAGUGUUCAAAGCAGGCCUAUGCUCGAAUACAUUAGCAUGGAAUAAUAGAAUAGGACGUGUGGUUCUAUUUUGUUGGUUUUUAGGACCGCCGUAAUGAUUAAUAGGGAUAGUCGGGGGCAUCAGUAUUCAAUUGUCAGAGGUGAAAUUCUUGGAUUUAUUGAAGACUAACUACUG